RNAcentral lists this transfer RNA (65 nucleotides) under Ictidomys tridecemlineatus (thirteen-lined ground squirrel). RNAcentral's name for it is "Spermophilus tridecemlineatus (thirteen-lined ground squirrel) tRNA". It matches the Rfam family "tRNA", at positions 5 to 66 of the family's 71-position model. From Rfam's summary of the family: Transfer RNA (tRNA) molecules are approximately 80 nucleotides in length. Their secondary structure includes four short double-helical elements and three loops (D, anti-codon, and T loops). Lineage: Eukaryota; Metazoa; Chordata; Mammalia; Rodentia; Sciuridae. The record is from Rfam by way of RNAcentral.
GUGUAGCUCAGGGUUUUAGGGCACUUGCCUGGCAUGCAUGAAGCCCUGAGUUCCAACCUCAGCAC